GUCUUCUCAUUGAGCUCCUUUCUGUCAGCUGGUGACAGUUUAUGGAUUCGCACGAGAAGAAGAGACAGUUCACAGAACUGACAUUCUGUGACCUUCUGGUUUUUCUGAGGGUAUAUUGGGCUGUUCUGUGAGACAUUU
Dipodomys ordii (Ord's kangaroo rat) is the source of this 138-nucleotide small nucleolar RNA. Its record names the gene SNORA75. It matches the Rfam family "Small nucleolar RNA SNORA75". Rfam says of the family: U23 belongs to the H/ACA class of snoRNAs. snoRNAs bind a number of proteins (including dyskerin, Gar1p and Nop10p in the case of the H/ACA class) to form snoRNP complexes. This class are thought to guide the sites of modification of uridines to pseudouridines by forming direct base pairing interactions with substrate RNAs. Targets include ribosomal and spliceosomal RNAs as well as the Trypanosoma spliced leader RNA (SL RNA) as possibly other, still unknown cellular RNAs. Lineage: Eukaryota; Metazoa; Chordata; Mammalia; Rodentia; Heteromyidae. The record is from Ensembl.